RNAcentral lists this ribosomal RNA (903 nucleotides) under uncultured archaeon. RNAcentral's name for it is "bacterial SSU rRNA". It matches the Rfam family "Archaeal small subunit ribosomal RNA", at positions 1 to 922 of the family's 1478-position model. The record is from RNAcentral.
UUCCGGUUGAUCCUGCCGGAGGCGACCGCUUUGGGAGUUCGAUUAAGCCAUGCGAGUCGUGAGUCUUAGGGACUCGGCAUACUGCUCAGUAACACGUGGAUAACCUGCCCUAUCGUCUGGAAUAACCUCGGGAAACUGAGAAUAAGGCCGGAUAGUUCACAAUGCCUGGAACGGUUUGUGGAUGAAGGUAGGAUGGGUCUGCGGCGUAUCAGGUUGUAGGGGGUGUAAAGGACCCCCUAGCCUUCGACGCGUACGGGUGUUGGGAGACAUAGCCCGGAGAUGGAUUCUGAGACACGAAUCCAGACCCUACGGGGUGCAGCAGGCGCGAAAACUUCACACUGCAGGAAACUGUGAUGAGGGAACUCCAAGUGCACGCACUUAGUGUGUGCUUUUUUCAACUAUUAAUCGGUUGAAGAAUAAGGGCUGGGAAAGACCGGUGCCAGCCGCCGCGGUAAUACCGGCAGCUCAAGUGGUCGUCGCUUUUAUUGGGCCUAAAACGUCCGUAGCCUGUUUGGUAAAUCUGUGGGUAAAUCAACCAGCUUAACUGGUUGAAUUCUGCAGAGACUGCCAGACUAGGGACCGGGAGAGGUGUGGGGUACUCUAGGGGUAGGGGUAAAAUCCUGUCAUCCUUAGAGGACCACCAGUUGCGAAGGCGCCACACUGGAACGGAUCCGACGGUCAGGGACGAAGCCUAGGGGCACGAACCGGAUUAGAUACCCGGGUAGUCCUAGGUGUAAACGCUGUGAACUUGGUGUCGGGGAUCCGUCAUGGGUCCCCGGUGCCGGAGUGAAGAUGUUAAGUUCACUGCCUGGGGAGUACGGUCGCAAGGCUGAAACUUAAAGGAAUUGGCGGGGGAGCACUGCAACGGGAGGAGCGUGCGGUUUAAUUGGAUUCAACGCCGGA